Molecule: ribosomal RNA, 236 nt
Filed under: uncultured bacterium
Lineage: Bacteria
Description: partial 16S ribosomal RNA
Rfam family: Bacterial small subunit ribosomal RNA
Source: RNAcentral
CAACGUAGGUAAUUUACCUUCGGAUGGGGAAUAACAAUCGGAAACGGUUGCUAAUACCGCAUAAUGCAGCGGCACCUAAUGGUGACAGUUGUUAAAGCGGGGGAUCGAAAGACCUCGCGUCUGAAGAGGAGCCUGCGGCGGAUUAGCUAGUUGGUAAGGUAACGGCUUACCAAGGCGACGAUCCGUAGCCGGCCUGAGAGGGCGGUCGGCCACACUGACACUGACAUACGGGUCAG